UACGGAAGGGGCAAGCGUUGUUCGGAAUCAUUGGGCGUAAAGGGCGCGUAGGUGGUUCUGUAUGUCUAUCGUGAAAGCGUACGGCUCAACCGUAUUUUGUCGGUAGAAACUGCAGGACUUGAAGCUGGGAGGGGCUGGUGGAAUUCCCUGUGUAGCGGUGAAAUGCGUAGAGAUGGGGGAGAACACUCGUGGCGAAGGCGGCCAGCUAGACCAGUUCUGACACUGAGGCGCGACAGCGUGGGGAGCAAACAGG
This 253-nucleotide ribosomal RNA is filed under the name uncultured bacterium. RNAcentral's name for it is "partial 16S ribosomal RNA". It matches the Rfam family "Bacterial small subunit ribosomal RNA", at positions 524 to 776 of the family's 1533-position model. The record is from RNAcentral.